AAAAUCCGUCGAUUUUAAAAUCGUGAGGGUUCAAGUCCCUCUAUCCCCA
This 49-nucleotide transfer RNA is filed under the name Asystasia gangetica. RNAcentral's name for it is "partial tRNA-Leu". The record is from RNAcentral. Lineage: Eukaryota; Viridiplantae; Streptophyta; Magnoliopsida; Lamiales; Acanthaceae.